AGAGUUUGAUCCUGGCUCAGAUUGAACGCUGGCGGCAUGCCUUACACAUGCAAGUCGAACGGCAGCGCGGGAGCAAUCCUGGCGGCGAGUGGCGAACGGGUGAGUAAUAUAUCGGAACGUGCCUUAGAGCGGGGGAUAACUAGUCGAAAGACUAGCUAAUACCGCAUACGACCUACGGGUGAAAGUGGGGGAUCGCAAGACCUCAUGCUCUUAGAGCGGCCGAUAUCUGAUUAGCUAGUUGGUGGGGUAAAAGCCUACCAAGGCGAUGAUCAGUAGCUGGUCUGAGAGGACGACCAGCCACACUGGGACUGAGACACGGCCCAGACUCCUACGGGAGGGAGCUGUGGGGAAUUUU
Molecule: ribosomal RNA, 355 nt
Filed under: uncultured beta proteobacterium
Lineage: Bacteria; Pseudomonadati; Pseudomonadota; Betaproteobacteria
Description: bacterial SSU rRNA
Rfam family: Bacterial small subunit ribosomal RNA
Source: RNAcentral